UACGGAGGGUGCAAACGUUGCUCGGAAUCAUUGGGCGUAAAGCGCGCGUAGGCGGCUUGAUAAGUCGGAUGUGAAAGCCCUCGGCUUAACCGGGGAAGUGCAUUCGAAACUGUCAGGCUUGAGUAUGGGAGAGGAUUGUGGAAUUCCCGGUGUAGAGGUGAAAUUCGUAGAUAUCGGGAGGAACACCAGAGGCGAAGGCGACAAUCUGGACCAAUACUGACGCUGAGGUGCGAAAGCGUGGGGAGCAAACAGG
This 253-nucleotide ribosomal RNA is filed under the name uncultured bacterium. Its description in RNAcentral is "partial 16S ribosomal RNA". It matches the Rfam family "Bacterial small subunit ribosomal RNA", at positions 524 to 776 of the family's 1533-position model. The record is from RNAcentral.